GACGAACGCUGGCGGCGCGCUUAACACAUGCAAGUCGAACGGAAAGGCCCUGCUUUUGUGGGGUGCUCGAGUGGCGAAAGGGUGAGUAACACGUGAGUAACCUGCCCUUGAUUUUGGGAUAACUUCAGGAAACUGGGGCUAAUACCGGAUAGGAGCUCCUGCUGCAUGGUGGGGGUUGGAAAGUCUCGGCGGUUGGGGAUGGACUCGCGGCUUAUCGGCUUGUUGGUGGGGUAGUGGCUUACCAAGGCAUUGACGGGUAGCCGGCCUGGUAGGGUGACCGGCUACAAUGGGGCUGAGAUACGGCCCAGCCUGCUACGGGAGGCAGCAGUGGGGAGUAUUGCACAAUGGGCUGAAGCCGGAUGCAGCAACGCCGCGUGCGGGAUGACGGCCUUCGGGUUGUGAACCGCUUUCGCCUGUGACGAAGCGUGAGUGACGGUAAUGGGUAAAGAAGCACCGGCUAACUACGUG
This 468-nucleotide ribosomal RNA is filed under the name uncultured bacterium. RNAcentral's name for it is "partial 16S ribosomal RNA". It matches the Rfam family "Bacterial small subunit ribosomal RNA", at positions 28 to 507 of the family's 1533-position model. The record is from RNAcentral.